This 77-nucleotide transfer RNA is filed under the name Parcubacteria group bacterium SW_6_46_9. Its description in RNAcentral is "tRNA-Pro". It matches the Rfam family "tRNA". From Rfam's summary of the family: Transfer RNA (tRNA) molecules are approximately 80 nucleotides in length. Their secondary structure includes four short double-helical elements and three loops (D, anti-codon, and T loops). Further hydrogen bonds mediate the characteristic L-shaped molecular structure. tRNAs have two regions of fundamental functional importance: the anti-codon, which is responsible for specific mRNA codon recognition, and the 3' end, to which the tRNAs corresponding amino acid is attached (by aminoacyl-tRNA synthetases). tRNAs cope with the degeneracy of the genetic code in two manners: having more than one tRNA (with a specific anti-codon) for a particular amino acid; and 'wobble' base-pairing, i.e. permitting non-standard base-pairing at the 3rd anti-codon position. The record is from RNAcentral.
CGGGGCAUGGUGUAAUUGGCUAACAUACUCCGUUUGGGACGGAGUGAUUCUCGGUUCAAGUCCGAGUGCCCCGACUA